Molecule: ribosomal RNA, 412 nt
Filed under: uncultured bacterium
Lineage: Bacteria
Description: bacterial SSU rRNA
Rfam family: Bacterial small subunit ribosomal RNA
Source: RNAcentral
AGUGAACGCUGGCGGCAGGCCUAACACAUGCAAGUCGAACGGCAGCACGGACUUCGGUCUGGUGGCGAGUGGCGAACGGGUGAGUAAUGUAUCGGAACGUACCUUUCAGUGGGGGAUAACGUAGCGAAAGUUACGCUAAUACCGCAUAUUCUGUGAGCAGGAAAGCAGGGGAUCGCAAGACCUUGCGCUGAUUGAGCGGCCGAUAUCAGAUUAGCUAGUUGGUGAGGUAAAGGCUCACCAAGGCGACGAUCUGUAGCGGGUCUGAGAGGAUGAUCAGCCACAAUGGGACUGAGACACGGCCCAUACUCCUACGGGAGGCAGCAGUGGGGAAUUUUACGCAAUGGGCGAAAGCCUGACGUAGCGACACCGCGUGAGCGAAGAAGCCCUUUGGGGUGUAAAGCUCUGUCGGCUG